AUGCGUGAGUAUAAGCUAGCCGUUCUCAUCUCAGGAGGCAUUAGAAAGUCUGCUUUGACUGUACAAUUUGUUUUAAGGAAUUUUUGUUGAAAAAUAUGAUCCCAUGACAGAAGAUUCUUAUAGAAAGCAAGCUCAAGUAGAUGCAGUGUAUGCUAGAAAUCUGGGAUACUGCAGGAAUGGAAUGAUUUACAGCAAUGAGGGAUUUGUACAUGAAAAAUGGACAAGGCUCUGCAUUAGUUUAUUCCAUCACAGCACAGUUCACAUGUAACAAUUUACAAGACCUGAGAGAAUAGAGUCUUUCAGUUAAAGACACUGAUGAUGUUCCAAUGAUUCUUGUUGGUAAUAAUUGUGACUUGGAAGAUGAAAGAGUUGUAGGGAAGAAACAAGGUCAAAAUCUAGCCAGACAAUGGAACAACUGUGCAUUCUUAGAAUCUUCUGCAAAAUCAAAAAUAAGUUUUAAUGAGAUCUUUUAUGACCUAGUGCAGCAAAUUAACAGAAAAACUCCAGUGCCUGGGAAGGCUCGCAAAAAGUUGUCAUGUCAGCUGCUUUAAUAUACUAAAUGCAUUGUAGCUCUGAGCUAGGUCUGAAGAACUGUUGCCCAAUUCAACAGUGCCAGCAUUCCAGCUUUGCUAAACCCACCAACAUCUUAAAUAGACUUUCCUGUGGUGGUACUCUUUAACAGGAGGAUGAAAGCUACUAUCAGUUUGCACAUUCUAAUCACUUUCCAGUAUCACAAGAGAGAUUUUUACUUAUAUAAUAGUCCUAGAGUAUGCAGCUGGUUGAACCAGAGGCUACAUCUAGCAUUACUGCUAAGAGACAUUCUUCAUCCACCAAUGUUCUGCAUGUAUGAAAAUGGUGUAUUGUAUACUUUAACAUGUCCCAAACUUUGCAUUGGAGAGUACAAUAAUGUAAAUCUUAAAAGCACCACAAUUUUAGCAUAAUAAAAGAAGGUCCAAAGAGCUCCUAUACAGACUA
Molecule: non-coding RNA, 975 nt
Organism: Callithrix jacchus (white-tufted-ear marmoset)
Lineage: Eukaryota; Metazoa; Chordata; Mammalia; Primates; Cebidae
Source: RefSeq, a predicted model, not a curated record